AAACAUGUCUUUUUGAAUAUAAUUUAAAGUCGAAUCUGCUCCAUGAAAGAAAUUUUAAAUAGCUGCAGGUAACUGUACAAAGGUAGCAUAAUCAAUAGUUUUUUAAUUAGAAGCUGGAAUGAACGAUUUGAUAAGGUAAAUAUUGUCUCAAUUUUAAUAAUAUUAAAAUUUUUUUUCUUGUAAAAAUACUAGAAUGAAUUUAAAAGACGAGAAGACCCUAUAGAUUUUUAUAAAUUUUUAAUUGAAGUUAUUAUAAAUUAUUAAUUUAAAAAUCAAUUAAACCUUUAUUUGAUUGGGGUAAUUAUUAAAUUAAUGAAACUUUAAUUUUAAUUAAACAAAAAUUAUUGAUUAUUUGGCCCUUUUUUUGGAUUACGAGAUUAAAAUACCUUAGGGAUAACAGCGUUAUUUUUUUGGAGAGUCCUAAUCGAUAAAAAAGUUUGCGACCUCGAUGUUGAAUUAAGAUAAAAUUUUGGUGUAGAAACUAAAAAUUUUUGGUCUGUUCGACCAUUAAAAUCUUACGUGAUCUGA
This 528-nucleotide ribosomal RNA is filed under the name Necolio sp. 2 BFS-2018. RNAcentral's name for it is "partial 16S large subunit ribosomal RNA". The stretch from base 393 to 528 matches the Rfam family "Archaeal large subunit ribosomal RNA", at positions 2542 to 2677 of the family's 2987-position model. Lineage: Eukaryota; Metazoa; Arthropoda; Insecta; Hymenoptera; Ichneumonidae. The record is from RNAcentral.